CACGGCGCACGGGUGCGUAACACGUGGGCAAUCUGCCCUUCGAUGGGGAAUAACCCCGGGAAACCGGGGCUAAUUCCGCAUAACAUUCCCUUCGGCAAAGCCGCGUCGAAGGAGGAGCCCGCGCCCGAUUAGCUAGUUGGUGAGGUAAAGGCUCACCAAGGCAAUGAUCGGUAGCUGGUCUGAGAGGAUGGCCAGCCACACUGGAACUGAGACACGGUCCAGACUCCUACGGGAGGCAGCAGUGGGGAAUCUUGCACAAUGGGCGAAAGCCUGAUGCAGCGACGCCGCGUGGGGGAUGAAGCUUCUCGGAGUGUAAACCCCUUUCGACCGGGAAGAAUGACGGUACCGGUAUAAGAAGCCCCGGCUAACUACGUGCCAGCAGCCGCGGUAAGAC
RNAcentral lists this ribosomal RNA (394 nucleotides) under uncultured soil bacterium. RNAcentral's name for it is "bacterial SSU rRNA". It matches the Rfam family "Bacterial small subunit ribosomal RNA", at positions 94 to 526 of the family's 1533-position model. The record is from RNAcentral.